RNAcentral lists this ribosomal RNA (497 nucleotides) under uncultured bacterium. RNAcentral describes it as "partial 16S ribosomal RNA". It matches the Rfam family "Bacterial small subunit ribosomal RNA", at positions 28 to 507 of the family's 1533-position model. The record is from RNAcentral.
GAUGAACGCUGGCGGCGUGCCUAAUACAUGCAAGUCGAGCGAACGGACGAGAAGCUUGCUUCUCUGAUGUUAUCGGCGGUCGGGUUAGUAACACGUGGAUAACCUCCCUAUCAGACUGGGAUAACUUCGGGAAACCGUAGCUAAUACCGGAUAAUAUUUUGAACCACAUGGUUCAAAAGUGAAAGACGGUCUUGCUGUCACUUAUAGAUGGAUCCGCGCUGCAUUAGCUAGUUGGUAAGGUAACGGCUUACCAAGGCAACGAUGCAUAGCCGACCUGAGAGGGUGAUCGGCCACACUGGAACUGAGACACAGUCCAGACUCCUACGGUAGGCAGCAGUAGGGAAUCUUCCGCAAUGGGCGAAAGCCUGACGGAGCAACGCCGCGUGAGUGAUGAAGGUCUUCGGAUCGUAAAACUCUGUUAUUAGGGAAGAACAUAUGUGUAAGUAACUGUGCACAUCUUGACGGUACCUAAUCAGAAAGCCACGGCUAACUACGUG